UACGUAGGGGGCUAGCGUUGUCCGGAAUUAUUGGGCGUAAAGAGCUUGUAGGCGGUUUGUCGCGUCUGCUGUGAAAUUUCGGGGCUCAACCCCGAACUUGCAGUGGGUACGGGCAGACUAGAGUGUGGUAGGGGAGACUGGAAUUCCUGGUGUAGCGGUGAAAUGCGCAGAUAUCAGGAGGAACACCUGCGGCGAAGGCGGGUUGCUGGGCUGACACUGACGCUGAGGCGCGAAAGCCAGGGGAGCGAACGGG
This 253-nucleotide ribosomal RNA is filed under the name uncultured bacterium. Its description in RNAcentral is "partial 16S ribosomal RNA". It matches the Rfam family "Bacterial small subunit ribosomal RNA", at positions 524 to 776 of the family's 1533-position model. The record is from RNAcentral.